RNAcentral lists this long non-coding RNA (390 nucleotides) under Bos indicus x Bos taurus (hybrid cattle). RNAcentral's name for it is "lncRNA (ENSBIXG00000025155.1)". The record is from RNAcentral. Lineage: Eukaryota; Metazoa; Chordata; Mammalia; Artiodactyla; Bovidae.
UCUGCUAAGAUCACAAUUUCCAUGACACAGCCGCUCUCUAAUGGAGCCUGUCAACUCAGAGCCUCAGAGCCCUGCGAAAGUAGGAUCCUGGGCGUUAACCGUGCCUUCCCCAUGCAGGACGCAGACGGCGGUUUCGAAGGGUCUUGGACUUGGCACCUAUCAGGCCCGCCAUCAAUUACUCGAAGCAUGAGGUAUCGUAGGAUCCAAGCAAGCCUAUUGCUGAACCACGUAGGAGGACAGCUGCUUCGGUACUCAGCUGACUUCAGUUUAUUGCAAGAAGUUGAAUAUAGCUGGUGUGCUACAGUCCAUGGCGUCGCGGAGUCAGACAUGACUUAGUGAGUGAACAACAAUUAUUGUAAGAUGUCGAAUAUAGUUCCCUGUGGUAUACAG